UUGUAAUUAAAAGGUCGUAACAAGGUCUCCGUUGGUGAACCAGCGGAGGGAUCAUUGCUGGAACGCGCCCCUGGCGCACCCAGAAACCCUUUGUGAACUCAUACCUUACCGUUGCCUCGGCGCAGGCCGGCCCCCCCCGGGGGGCCCCUCGGAGACGAGGAGCAGGCCCGCCGGCGGCCAAGUUAACUCUUGUUUUUACACUGAAACUCUGAGAAACAAAACACAAAUGAAUCAAAACUUUCAACAACGGAUCUCUUGGUUCUGGCAUCGAUGAAGAACGCAGCGAAAUGCGAUAAGUAAUGUGAAUUGCAGAAUUCAGUGAAUCAUCGAAUCUUUGAACGCACAUUGCGCCCUCUGGUAUUCCGGAGGGCAUGCCUGUUCGAGCGUCAUUUCAACCCUCAAGCCUGGCUUGGUGAUGGGGCACUGCUCCCCCCCCCGGGGAGCAGGCCCUGAAAUCCAGUGGCGAGCUCGCCAGGACCCCGAGCGCAGUAGUUAAACCCUCGCUCCGGGAGGCCCUGGCGGUGCCCUGCCGUUAAACCCCCAACUUCUGAAAGUUGACCUCGGAUCAGGUAGAUCCCGGACG
This 583-nucleotide ribosomal RNA is filed under the name Diaporthe ampelina. Its description in RNAcentral is "eukaryotic LSU rRNA". The stretch from base 236 to 389 matches the Rfam family "5.8S ribosomal RNA". Lineage: Eukaryota; Fungi; Ascomycota; Sordariomycetes; Diaporthales; Diaporthaceae. The record is from RNAcentral.